This 283-nucleotide ribosomal RNA is filed under the name uncultured bacterium. Its description in RNAcentral is "partial 16S ribosomal RNA". It matches the Rfam family "Bacterial small subunit ribosomal RNA", at positions 773 to 1060 of the family's 1533-position model. The record is from RNAcentral.
GUGGAUUAGAUACCCUGGUAGUCCACGCCGUAAACGAUGCUAACUCGUUUUUGGGUUUUUAAGAUUCAGAGACUAAGCGAAAGUGAUAAGUUAGCCACCUGGGGAGUACGAACGCAAGUUUGAAACUCAAAGGAAUUGACGGGGGCCCGCACAAGCGGUGGAUUAUGUGGUUUAAUUCGAUGAUACGCGAGGAACCUUACCAAGGCUUAAAUGGGAAUUGAUCGGUUUAGAAAUAGACCUUCCUUCGGGCAAUUUUCAAGGUGCUGCACGGUCGUCGCCAGCU